RNAcentral lists this ribosomal RNA (497 nucleotides) under uncultured bacterium. RNAcentral describes it as "partial 16S ribosomal RNA". It matches the Rfam family "Bacterial small subunit ribosomal RNA", at positions 28 to 507 of the family's 1533-position model. The record is from RNAcentral.
GAUGAACGCUGGCGGCGUGCCUAAUACAUGCAAGUCGAGCGAACAGAUAAUGAGCUUGCUUCUUUCACGAUAGCGUCGGACGUGUGAGUAACACGUGGAUGACCUACCUAUAAGACUGGAAUAACUCGGUGAAACCGGGGCUAAAUCAGUAUAACAUGUUGAACCUCAUGGUUCUACAGUGAAAGACGGCUUUGCUGUCUCUCAUAGAUGGACCCUCGCCGUAUUAGCUAGUUGGUGAGGUAACGGCUCACGAAGGCAACGAUAAGUAGCCGACCUGAGAGGGUGAUCGGCCACACUGGAACUGGGACACGGUCAAGACUCCUACGGGAGGCAGCAGUAGGAAAUCCUCGGAAAUGGGCGAAGUCUUGACGGAGAAAGGCGGGGUGAGGGAGGAGGGUCUUCGGAUCGUAAGACCUUGUUAAUAGGGAGGAACGAAGGCGUAGGUAACUGUGCGCAUCUUGACGGUACCUUAUCAGAAAGCCACGGCUAACUACGUG